UGCAUCUUGAUUUUUAUCACAUUUCUUUGAGCUUUCUUGGAAGGUUCAUCUUUCAAUCUGUUUUAGAUUAAAUAUCAAUCUAUUGUGUGGUGUGUAGGAAAGACAUUCAGAUAUCGGUUUCUCUCAUCCAUUUUCUAUUUCAUUCUCUUAGAAUUCAACUUCACAAUACUUUGUGUUGCCUCUAAGUUUCUUUGUUUCCACAAGCACCCUCCAUAAGUUUUCUUACGCAGAAGAUUAUAGUCUCAAUUUGUUUACUCACAUAUUUUACAGACACAUGCUUUUCACGACAGAAACACGAGUGAUUAUCCAGAUCUUGAACCAAUUGGAAAGAUGAUUGUAGACAAGUGUGGAGGGUUGCCAUUAGCUGUUAAAACAAUGGGGAACCUCUUGAGAAAAAAAUUCUCUAAAAGUGAAUGGGAGAAAAUAUUGAAGACUGAUAUGUGGCGUUUAUCAGAGAGAGACAGCAACAUAAAUCCAGUAUUGAGACUGAGUUACCACAAUCUUCCUUCAAAUUCGAAGCGUUGUUUUGCAUAUUGUUCCAUAUUUCCCAAGGGUUAUAUCUUUGAUAAGAAUAAGUUAAUCAAUAUGUGGAUGGCAAAUGGUUUGCUGAAUUCCUACAAAAGUAACAAAAGUAAAGAAGAGUUGGGUAGUGAAUCGUUCGAAGAUCUUGAAUCAAUUUCAUUUUUCCAAAGAUAUCUAGAUUCUGAUGGUUGGUUUGUCAUGCAUGAUCUUGUCAAUGACUUGGCAAAAUCAGAGUCUCGAGAAUAUUGAACUACAAGGGAUUUCUCCACCUCAAAUCUCUUGAUAAUAUAUGGAUUUGCAACUGCCCUAGCCUUGAGAGUUUGCCGGAGGAGGGUCUACCCAAUUCCCUUUCUGAUUUGUACAUUGAAAAUUGUCCAUUACUUUCAGAGAAGUACAAAAAGGAGGGAGGAGAGCGUUGGCAUACAAUUAGUCAUAUCCCUACUGUGCGGAUUGACGGUAUUCAUCAGCAUUAGAUUGAACGGUAGAAAUGAGAUGUUUGUCACAG
This is a long non-coding RNA of Vicia villosa (hairy vetch), 1027 nucleotides long. RefSeq lists it as uncharacterized. The record is from RefSeq and is a predicted model, not a curated record. The transcript is spliced from 3 exons. NCBI's taxonomy places the organism in Eukaryota, Viridiplantae, Streptophyta, Magnoliopsida, Fabales, Fabaceae.